This is an RNA transcript of Jatropha curcas, 985 nucleotides long. RefSeq lists it as uncharacterized. NCBI's taxonomy places the organism in Eukaryota, Viridiplantae, Streptophyta, Magnoliopsida, Malpighiales, Euphorbiaceae. The record is from RefSeq and is a predicted model, not a curated record.
AGUGUCAAUUAGAAUAAAGUUUUAUUUUUUAGUUUAACAUUUUAAUUUUUUUUCCCUAUCCAUAUACAAACGACAUCCUUCGAGACUGCCGUCUAGUCUUCUGUCUUUGGUGUCUGCUGCUUCUUUUACUCGUACACUUUGAUAAACCCACCACAGGACAUUAAAAACUUUCUUUCUCCCUGUUCUUCCAAAGCUUCUGAGGUUCAACAAUGGCGAAUGAGAAUGAAGAAAAUUGGGACGCUUAGAUGAGGAAAUGUUUGAUGCCAUUGGAAGGCAAUUCUGAAAUCUCCUCUAUAUUUCUUCCCACUUUGAACACCCAAAUGAAGUAGUGAGAGAAAUCAGAUAUAAUACAGACUACAGAAGCAGAAAGUUCUGCGAAACACGGAUAAUUUUUUUUAAUUAUGAAUGAGUGACACUAUUGUGCUGAGUAUGAGAGUGUUCCAGAUCAAGCUCUUGAACUCCUUCAAAGUGUAUAUCGUGGAAAGUUGUGAAGCACCAAAAGAACUAUUUGAUGUGGAAGGGCUGAAUGCUGAUGAAGGGCAUGUUGUGAUGGCAUUACAGUUCAAUGAAUUGCAUUUGAUAAAACUUCCGAGGUUGAAGCAUGUAUGGAUUGAUAAUCCUCAGGGAGUUAUGGGAUUUAAAAACCUGAUAUUAUUGAAAAUUCAUGAUUGUAAUUCCUUGACCAAUGUAGUUUCUCUGUCAAUGUCUUUGGGCCUUGUGCAACUUCCAUCUAUGAACAGGUGUAGUUUGAUUGAAGAAAUCGUCAUAAAAGAAGAAGAGCAUGCUCUGUUGGAUAAAAUCAAUACUAUAUCAAUCUAGAGCCUUUGCCCAGCUGGAUAAGUUUUUAUUCAGGAAGUGAUGCUAUAGCAUGCCCAUCCUUGGAAAAAAUUGAUGUAGUUGACUGUCCAAAUAUAAUUUUGCUUCCAAACUUUCAGAACAAGAUUCAAUCACAAUCUUCAAUUAAACAAAGAGAGUUUUCAAUGAA